UACAGAGCGAACGCUGGCGGCGUGCUUAACACAUGCAAGUCGAAACGUGAAAUGUAGCAAUACAGAGUAAAGUGGCGUACGGGUGAGUAACACGUGGGUAAUCUACCAAAGUGUCUGGAAUAACCGAUCGAAAGGUUGGCUAAUACUGGAUAGUUCAAGCUUGUUAUAAUGGCAAGAUUGGGAAAGGGAGCUGGCAACAGCCUUCGCAUUUGAUGAGCUCGCGUCUGGUUAGUUAGUUGGUAAGGUAAUGGCUUACCAAGACGAAGAUCAGUAGCUGGUCUGAGAGGAUGAUCAGCCACACUGGAACUGAAACACGGUCCAGACUCCUACGGGAGGCAGCAGUGGGGAAUCUUGCGCAAUGGACGAAAGUCUGACGCAGCCACGCCGCGUGAGUGAAGAAGGCCUUCGGGUUGUAAAGCUCUGUCGGAGGGGACAAAAACGUUUAGGGUUAAUAGCCCUAGAUCUUGAUGGUACCCUUAAAGGAAGCACCGGCUAACUUCGUG
Molecule: ribosomal RNA, 503 nt
Filed under: uncultured bacterium
Lineage: Bacteria
Description: bacterial SSU rRNA
Rfam family: Bacterial small subunit ribosomal RNA
Source: RNAcentral